Molecule: ribosomal RNA, 466 nt
Filed under: uncultured bacterium
Lineage: Bacteria
Description: bacterial SSU rRNA
Rfam family: Bacterial small subunit ribosomal RNA
Source: RNAcentral
GAUGAACGCUGGCGGCGUGCCUAAUACAUGCAAGUCGAACGGGAGACCUCAUUUCGAUGGGGUUGAGAGUGGCGCACGGGUAGGGAACACAUGGCUGACCUGCCCUUCAGAGGGGGAUAACGGCUGGAAACGGCUGCUAAUACCCCAUACGCUCCUUGGGAUUAGAGGCCUGAGGAGGAAAGCCUUCGGGUGCUGAAGGAGGGGGCUGUGGCCCAUCAGCUUGUUGGUAGGGUAACGGCCUACCAAGGCGACGACGGGUAGGGGGCCUGAGAGGGUGACCCCCCACACUGGGACUGAGACACGGCCCAGACUCCUACGGGAGGCAGCAGUAAGGGAUCUUGCGACAAUGGGCGAAAGCCUGACGCAGCAACGCCGCGUGCGGGAGGACGGCCUUCGGGUUGUAAACCGCUUUUCGGGGGGAAGAGGAAGGACGGUACCCCCGGAAGAAGUCUCGGCUAACUACGUG